GUCUGGGAUAGCUCAGUUGGUAGAGGAUGAGAUUCUUAAUCUUAGGGUCAUAGGUUGGGCAAAAAAAUUCCUGCAUUGCAGGGGAUUGGACA
Non-coding RNA from Podarcis lilfordi (Lilford's wall lizard), 92 nucleotides. NCBI's taxonomy places the organism in Eukaryota, Metazoa, Chordata, Lepidosauria, Squamata, Lacertidae. The record is from the annotation of a GenBank genome assembly.